GAGGGUAUAGCUCAGUGGUACAGUGCAUGCCUAGCAUGCACGAUGUCCUGGGUUCAAGCCCCAGUACUUCCA
Molecule: transfer RNA, 72 nt
Filed under: Camelus bactrianus (Bactrian camel)
Lineage: Eukaryota; Metazoa; Chordata; Mammalia; Artiodactyla; Camelidae
Also listed under: 2 other names
Rfam family: tRNA
About the family: Transfer RNA (tRNA) molecules are approximately 80 nucleotides in length. Their secondary structure includes four short double-helical elements and three loops (D, anti-codon, and T loops). Further hydrogen bonds mediate the characteristic L-shaped molecular structure. tRNAs have two regions of fundamental functional importance: the anti-codon, which is responsible for specific mRNA codon recognition, and the 3' end, to which the tRNAs corresponding amino acid is attached (by aminoacyl-tRNA synthetases). tRNAs cope with the degeneracy of the genetic code in two manners: having more than one tRNA (with a specific anti-codon) for a particular amino acid; and 'wobble' base-pairing, i.e. permitting non-standard base-pairing at the 3rd anti-codon position.
Source: Rfam by way of RNAcentral